Papaver somniferum (opium poppy) is the source of this 569-nucleotide long non-coding RNA. RefSeq lists it as uncharacterized. The transcript is spliced from 3 exons. The record is from RefSeq and is a predicted model, not a curated record. Lineage: Eukaryota; Viridiplantae; Streptophyta; Magnoliopsida; Ranunculales; Papaveraceae.
UUCUGGUUACUGUAAAAGAAUACCAUGCGGACUCAACUACAAGAUUGUCACAAGUAUGCAAUUGAUGGUGAAUUUUGGUUUCUUGGUGAAAGGCUGGUUGUGGUCGUGAACUGCUGAAGGGUUGGUGUUGUGAACUUUUUUGGAGAGGAGCUCUAUGAACUGUUUUCAAGGUUAUGUUAAAAUCAGGAUCAAGACGAAAGGAACUUAAUACUCAAGAAAUGGGCAGAAGGAUUCCAUGUAACAUCAGUGGCAACUGGUGGAAGCCAAUAUGGUGAAGUCAUGUCUUUCAAUGCGGGAUUCAGUGACCAAAUAGUACGAAGCGGGGUCAUUCAGCAGCCCACAUCAAAUGUGUACAGUUAAGUUGUCGGUGUUUGCAGGAAAUACUCGGUGUUAAAGUGCUUCAGCUCAGUAUUGUAGCUGCAAUUAGGUAUACAAUUUCCUAGUUACAGAUUAUGUUAACAUUGUAUCUAUUUGCUGCUGCCACGUAGAACAUUGUAUCUAUAAUUUUGUCGUCUUUAUCAUCUCAGUAAGAAAGUUGUAAAACUUGUACACAUUUAUAUCUUCUACUG